UGGGGAAUAUUGGACAAUGGGCGAAAGCCUGAUCCAGCAAUGCCGCGUGUGUGAAGAAGGUCUUCGGAUUGUAAAGCACUUUCGGCGGGGACGAUGAUGACGGUACCCGCAGAAGAAGCCCCGGCUAACUUCGUGCCAGCAGCCGCGGUAAUACGAAGGGGGCUAGCGUUGCUCGGAAUGACUGGGCGUAAAGGGCGCGUAGGCGGCUUGCACAGUCAGAUGUGAAAUUCCUGGGCUUAACCUGGGGGCUGCAUUUGAUACGUGUGGGCUAGAGUGUGAAAGAGGGUCGUGGAAUUCCCAGUGUAGAGGUGAAAUUCGUAGAUAUUGGGAAGAACACCUGUGGCGAAAGCGGCUCACUGGACCAUUUCUGACGCUGAUGCACGAAAGCUAGGGGAGCAAA
RNAcentral lists this ribosomal RNA (400 nucleotides) under uncultured bacterium. Its description in RNAcentral is "bacterial SSU rRNA". It matches the Rfam family "Bacterial small subunit ribosomal RNA", at positions 355 to 772 of the family's 1533-position model. The record is from RNAcentral.